CCUUCAGUUUUGCUAAAAGCAAAAAAAAAAAAAAAAAAUCACCUAAUCAACAAAAGUAUUUACUGCUCAUCAGACUUACUAACUACACCAUAUCAACAUCCAUAUUUCAAAUUGGAUCAUUAUACUUACAUUGUGGGGACAGCGUACUGCAGAUGAUGAAGAUGAUUUGGCGGUGCUUUUAUUCUAGUGUGAAAAAAAGCCCCCAUGAAAGGCUAGCAGACAGAGGACAGCCUCAUGUCACAGGUCUGCUUUGAGGAGGAACACACGUGGGAAAUGGAGAUCUGGAAAUCCUGUCUCCAAUUUUCCCUGUGCCCACGUGCCCUGCGCAGUCUCUGUGUGCCCCGAGAUGUGCUCCAAUGUGAAGGCCACUGGCUAAGAAGUCUAUGCGUAUAAAAAUACACAAUUAAGCAUUGAGGGGCAGUGACGGUGGUGGGGGGGAGGCAAGCAGGGGGAGUGGGGCUGAGGCGUGCGGCCUGGCUUGGGGCUGGUGGUGGAUCUCGUUGGGUGCCGGGCCCAGACGGUGCCGGGGUGGGGCUGUUUCGGGGACGAGGACCCAGCCGGCCUAGGCCGGCAGCGGGUGGGCGGGGUGGGGCUGCCCCAUCGCCCGGCCGAGCGUCCGCGCUGCGGCGGGAGGGGGAGGACGCGCAUGCGCGGACGCACAGACGGGAGGACGCCGGACCCCGGACCCCGCCCAGAGCGUGUGGAUGCUGGCGGGAACCUGGCGCUUCUGGGUCAGCUACCUGAGGAGGAACCGGCCUGGGGUCUGGGCUGUCGCUUGCCGUCGCCUCCGGUAUGGCCGCCGGGCAGGGCUUGCAAGGAGAGAAAGCUGAAGAAACUGGAGAAGUGCAGAGGGAAGAAAAGGAAAGAGAAUGAACAAGAGAAGAAUGAUUUCUGGCACCCAAGGCACACAGAGCUGCCUGGCCUUUGGGUACAGCAUGAAGACUUCUGCAGCUCUGACUUCUGAACAUUCUGGAGUGGUUACUUUGCAUUUAAAAGUGCAAAUAUGACUCAAUAACAUGAAAUUGUUUUGUGUAGUUGAAUAUUAUGUAUGUUAGUUAUUUCUUCCAUUCUCUCUCCCUUGAACACUUCCACUCCUCUUCAGAUGUGCUAUCUGUGCUCUU
RNAcentral lists this long non-coding RNA (1121 nucleotides) under Camelus dromedarius (Arabian camel). Its description in RNAcentral is "lncRNA (ENSCDRG00005011881.1)". The record is from RNAcentral. Lineage: Eukaryota; Metazoa; Chordata; Mammalia; Artiodactyla; Camelidae.